AGAUAAAUUUAUAAUAAAAAAAUAGGUAUAAAGUUUAAAUAUAGUAAUAUAUAAUAUUAUAGCUAAUAUAUACUAAAAAAUCUAAAUUUA
This 90-nucleotide ribosomal RNA is filed under the name Balanophora reflexa. RNAcentral describes it as "4.5S ribosomal RNA". The record is from RNAcentral. Lineage: Eukaryota; Viridiplantae; Streptophyta; Magnoliopsida; Santalales; Balanophoraceae.